UGUGGAAGGCAGGAGAGUGACUGAUUGUGGAUGCGGGGCAGGUGUGGAAGAUCGAGCUGGCAGAGCAAGGCUGGACAUCAGCAGCAGUGGUACCCCAGGCCUGAUGGGGGCGCUGCUGAAAGCACGAGUCCUGUGCCUGCAGCAGCUGGUGGACGCAGUGGGGCCGACGCUGAGUGACGCCCCGGCCCUGGGCUCUCUGCUGGGGCUGCACUCCGUCCGGAUGGCGAGGAGGCUCGUGGAGCUGUGGAACCAGAGGCUGACUGAGGAGGAAAGGAGCCUCCUCACAGACUACAGCCAGAAAG
Gasterosteus aculeatus aculeatus (three-spined stickleback) is the source of this 302-nucleotide long non-coding RNA. The record is from Ensembl. Lineage: Eukaryota; Metazoa; Chordata; Actinopteri; Perciformes; Gasterosteidae.